GGGGAUAUAGCUCAGUGGUACAGCAUCUGCUUUGCAAGUGCAAGGUCCUGAGUUCAAUUCCUCACAUCCCCC
This 72-nucleotide transfer RNA is filed under the name Cavia porcellus (domestic guinea pig). It matches the Rfam family "tRNA". Rfam says of the family: Transfer RNA (tRNA) molecules are approximately 80 nucleotides in length. Lineage: Eukaryota; Metazoa; Chordata; Mammalia; Rodentia; Caviidae. The record is from Rfam by way of RNAcentral.